CUCAGUAGACUAUAGUGUAUAGAACAAAUUAUGAAUGAUUUUCAUCUUGAUACCUUGACAUGAUCCAAUUUCUACAACGACAUUAAACAUUGGAAAGCCAUAUAAUCAACAGACCUGUGUUAAAGAAUGCAUUUGCAUCUUACAUGUUGCAUUUUUUUGGUCUAGCUAAGAAAUGUGUACAUACUGAUAUUUAAAAUCAAACCUUUGCCCAUAAGAAGACUUGCAAGUUGAUCAAUAAUUUUGUAUUUAGGCGCUUCCCAAUAGUGAGAGUACUAGUCUUGCCAAAAAAUGCAAUUUACCUACAACAAGGCAGUCAAAAAGAUAUUCAAAUGCAAAUCUAAAUACACAUAAAAGUAAAGCCAUGAAUGCAUUUGUAGAUAAUUUUGAUAUGCUGCAACAAGCAGAGACAUGCUACAGCCAUCAACAUCCAACAAGUAGAAAUGCUCUUUUGAUUACUCUAUAGCCUAUAUGUAAUUCUCUCCAAACAAAACAAGUAUGACGUAAUUCUCUAAUAGUUCAAAAAUAAAGGUGCAUAUUGCAUAAUUAUGAUGGUACAUGGUUUUUUAAAUGCUACAGCCAUUUAAGGAAUGAUAAAAUCAAUCAUUAAUUUAGAUUCAUACUAAAGAAAAUUUAUGUCCCGUCACACAACAAACGCCUUGCACAUGCUUAAAACAUCUCAAACAAUAACAAGAAAACCAGAACAGUGUAAGACAAGACAGUGCAAACCAAAUCACUGAUUAAUUGAAUAUCGAGCACACCUUUUCAGGAUCUCCACCGCCUUCAAACAUGUAUAUAUAUGCUCCCCUCUCAUGACUGGCCUUGGGUCUUUUCCAACCUAAAUUCAUCAAGAAAGUGAACAAUUAAUUGAAUAUUAUGUUCUCUAUUUAUGACAACCUCCUAACUAGUAGUACUAGAAUCAAUGACAUGCCUUAAGUUAAUGUUUCCUUGUUUUGCUUCAUCGACUCCAAAUAGUCAAGCUUUACACAAAUUGUGCCACAUGAACUCUUCUAUAUCAUUUGGAUUUCGAGCAACAUCUAACCGAAACUGCUCAGCUCCUUCUAUAUCAUAUGACUUCUUCUAUAAAGGCCAUAUUUAAAAUAUUUUGCAUAACCAAAUGAGGAAAAGAAUAUACCCUAUAUUGAUCUUAACUCUUUAGGAUAUUUGUUUCCCAUAAAUAUCAUGGCACACGUCUUUCAAAGAGUAGCAACAAACAUAAUUCAUUCAAUAUUCCUUUAAAUUCAUUAACAAGGCUAAAAAACCUAUGAUAAAUAAAAUAAAAAACCCAUCACACAUUUCAUAUGAUAUUCAUUGACAAUAUACAACACUUACGCUUGAAAAUCCAGUUUCAGAUGUAAUAUAAUUCAACUUUAAGCUUCAAAAAUCAUAUGUUUUGUGUUUGUGCACACACAGAGUGGUGUAAGUUCGAAUCAUACCUCAUAGGAAUAGUAAUCGCUUUAAUCUUUUCAGAUGUCCUAAGUUCCUUAUUCACAAUAGGAUGGUACUGUAUAGAAAUCAAAUAAACACAAAAAUCAUGAACGAGUAAGCUCACACAGACUAGACAACGAAAGAGAAAGUUCGUCACUUACCGAAGACAAAACAAGAGAAGCUUCGUCGAUUUGGAGAUAGAUUUGGGAUUGGAACGAUGAACGAGUUAGGGAUUUAGAUUUCAAGCGGCUAUAAGGGAUUUAGAACAUGUUAGGGAUUUAAAGCGACUAAAAGGAUGAAGAUUUGGAAUGAGUUAGGAAUUUGGAGGCGUUUGUGGUUGAAGGACUUGGAACUCCAUAGCUUCGC
Molecule: long non-coding RNA, 1791 nt
Filed under: Trifolium pratense (red clover)
Lineage: Eukaryota; Viridiplantae; Streptophyta; Magnoliopsida; Fabales; Fabaceae
Description: long non-coding RNA (TPRA_LNC005239)
Source: RNAcentral